CCUACGGGUGGCAGCAGUGGGGAAUAUUGCACAAUGGGGGAAACCCUGAUGCAGCGACGCCUCGUGAGUGAAGAAGUAUUUCGGUAUGUAACGCUCUAUCAGCAGGGAAGAAAAUGACGGUACCUGAUUAAGAAGCCCCGGCUAACUACGUGCCAGCAGCCGCGGUAAGACGGAGGUGGCAAGCGUUAUCCGGAUUUACUGGGUGUAAAGGGAGCGUAGACGGCAGCGCAAGUCUGAAGUGAAAUGCCGGGGCUUAACCGCGGAACUGCUGUGGAAACUGGGCAGCUAGAGUGCUGGAGAGGUAAGUGGAAUUCCUAGUGGAGCGGUGAAAUGCGUAGAUAUUAGGAGGAACACCAGUGGCGAAGGCGGCUUACUGGACUGUAACUGACGUUGAGGCUCGAAAGCGUGGGGAGCAAACAGGAUUAGAUACCCCUGUAGUC
Molecule: ribosomal RNA, 440 nt
Filed under: uncultured bacterium
Lineage: Bacteria
Description: partial 16S ribosomal RNA
Rfam family: Bacterial small subunit ribosomal RNA
Source: RNAcentral